UCAGGACGAACGCUGGCGGCGUGCCUAAUACAUGCAAGUCGAGCGGAUCUUUGGGAGCUUGCUCCCAAAGAUUAGCGGCGGACGGGUGAGUAACACGUGGGCAACCUGCCUAUGAGACUGGGAUAACUCCGGGAAACCGGGGCUAAUACCGGAUAAUUCUUUUCUACACAUGUAGAAAAGCUGAAAGAUGGUUUCGGCUAUCACUCAUAGAUGGGCCCGCGGCGCAUUAGCUAGUUGGUGAGGUAACGGCUCACCAAGGCGACGAUGCGUAGCCGACCUGAGAGGGUGAUCGGCCACACUGGGACUGAGACACGGCCCAGACUCCUACGGGAGGCAGCAGUAGGGAAUCUUCCGCAAUGGACGAAAGUCUGACGGAGCAACGCCGCGUGAGUGAUGAAGGUUUUCGGAUCGUAAAACUCUGUUGUUAGGGAA
Molecule: ribosomal RNA, 432 nt
Filed under: uncultured Bacillus sp.
Lineage: Bacteria; Bacillati; Bacillota; Bacilli; Caryophanales; Bacillaceae
Description: bacterial SSU rRNA
Rfam family: Bacterial small subunit ribosomal RNA
Source: RNAcentral